GCCUGGGUGGCUCAGUCGGUUGAGCGUCCGACUUUAGCUCAGGUCAUGAUGUCACAGUUCGUGGGUUCGAGCCCCUCAUCGGGCU
Molecule: transfer RNA, 85 nt
Filed under: Felis catus (domestic cat)
Lineage: Eukaryota; Metazoa; Chordata; Mammalia; Carnivora; Felidae
Rfam family: tRNA
About the family: Transfer RNA (tRNA) molecules are approximately 80 nucleotides in length.
Source: Rfam by way of RNAcentral